RNAcentral lists this ribosomal RNA (431 nucleotides) under uncultured fungus. Its description in RNAcentral is "eukaryotic LSU rRNA". It matches the Rfam family "Eukaryotic large subunit ribosomal RNA", at positions 1 to 432 of the family's 3401-position model. Lineage: Eukaryota; Fungi. The record is from RNAcentral.
GACCUCGGAUCAGGUAGGAAUACCCGCUGAACUUAAGCAUAUCAAUAAGCGGAGGAAAAGAAACCAACAGGGAUUGCCUCAGUAACGGCGAGUGAAGCGGCAAAAGCUCAAAUUUGAAAUCUGACCCUUCGGGUCCGAGUUGUAAUUUGCAGAGGAUGUUUCGGGUAAGAUUUAGGUCUAAGUUCCUUGGAACAGGACGUCAAAGAGGGUGAGAAUCCCGUACGUGACCGUUGAUCGCACCCAUGUGAAACUCCUUCGACGAGUCGAGUUGUUUGGGAAUGCAGCUCAAAAUGGGUGGUAAAUUUCAUCUAAAGCUAAAUAUUGGCCAGAGACCGAUAGCGCACAAGUAGAGUGAUCGAAAGAUGAAAAGCACUUUGAAAAGAGAGUUAAACAGUAUGUGAAAUUGUUGAAAGGGAAGCGCUUGCAACCAG